This is a long non-coding RNA of Parus major (Great Tit), 3002 nucleotides long. RefSeq lists it as uncharacterized. NCBI's taxonomy places the organism in Eukaryota, Metazoa, Chordata, Aves, Passeriformes, Paridae. The transcript has 2 exons. The record is from RefSeq and is a predicted model, not a curated record.
AACCAGAAUAAAUGAAAGGAAAAUAAAAUGCCAAAUGCCAUCCUGCUGCAAGGUUUUCAACAGAAGGAGAAUGCUGUUCCUUGCUGUGCUGCCUUCCCACGCUGCAGCUGUAGGGAACCCAGAACCGCGCUUGCAACAGGGAUGCUGCUGGAAUCACCGGGGAGGGAGCCAGAGGCAAAGCCUGGAUUGGCAGCACAGAGGCUGAAUGCAGAUGUCCUUCUUUCUCUGCUUCCCUGGUACAUCACCAGAGACAGCACAUCACUACUGGUAAACUGCUUAAAAGGAAGCAAGCACCAUUUUUUAUGUCGUAUAAAUAUCUAUCUACACAUUUUCCAAAAAGGAUGGAGGUGCUGGGAUGCCUACGUGAUUUAUGCACAGUAUGGAAGUAGCACAAACAUGAUCAUUUACAACAGGUUUUAAUGACCAUCUGAAGGGGAAAGAUACCAAAUAUGGUUAACAGCAACUGUUAAGUGAAACAAGUUAUAUUUCAUCUAUGUAAACAAAGUAAUGAUCAUGUCUGUCACAAGAUUUCAAGAGAUUUAUCUUCCAGGCUCCCUAAUAUGGUUACAUCUGUCUCCUGCUUAAAUCCUAUGUUCUUGCCAUCUGCUCCUAUGCACUUCUUUUCACCCUCAAGCAGUGAUUAAACAACUAUCUGGGAAAGAAAAAAAGUACUUUUCCAUUUUUGAGCCAAUGUUUAACAGCUGGAAAAAACCUGGAAAACCAAACCCACAAACCCUUUGGCUCUCAAUUGCUUUCUCUGGUUGGGAAUGUUACUAGUGAGAUGCUCAGCUGAAGUUUCCAGGAAUCUUUACAUCUCACUGUACAACAGGAAACGCUGCACCUAUAGAUUCAAGUAGUUUUGUUAUGGAGUGUAAUAAAUUUGGAGCAGAUUGAACCACCAUUCAGUUAAUCAGUCAAAUUGUCAUUGAGAGGUAAUGUUAUAUGGGGAGAUCAGGAAGCAUUUUGCUUUGUAAAGAAGGAAACUUCCUAGAAUUCUUUAUUUGCGCUGUGGGAAGCCUUGAUAGCUGUGUUCCUUUGAGAUGUGCUUUGUACUUACCUCUCCUUGUCCAAACAUGGAGGAGCAGGAAGGACAGAGCCCCAGCUCGCUCUCUUUUCUGUGUGAGGAGAACCAAAGAAGAGCAAUUUCACAGAUCCUGUGCUUCUGCCUUCUGGGCAAGACUGCAGCCUGCUGAUCCUCAUGUGGGCACAUUAAUUAGGGGAGCACUUUACAUCCAUCACCCUCUGUAGCCAUAGAAUGGUCAGUCAUAAUCCAUCUCUUAGUGUUUAUUCGGAGCCUUGAAAUCCUUGAAAGGUAUUAGAGAUGCACUGAGCAUCUUGCUACAGGAGAGGCUUGAUGCAAUGACAAUUCUGUCAUUUAAAAAAACUGCUUCAUCCCUUCUCUAGGAGUUUUGUCAAACUUUAUUUUCUUGGGCUGUUGCUUUCUCCUAUGUAGAAGAAAUUACGGAUAUUACCUAAUCAUUCCCUUGAGCUUCAUAGGAAGUAACUGGACUUGGUACCUCUGCUUCUCAGUCCUUGCUCCUUUGGCUGCUUUACUCUGCUGCUUCUGUCCCCUACCAUUUAUAAUUGUUACUGCUUGCAAAGAUGGGAAACCAAAAUUGUUUGUACUGUUUGUAAAACACUGUGAAGUAUUUUCAGAAAUAAUGCAUAACAAGGCAAAUUUACCAUGGCUUUUUUAUCCUCAGGUAAUAAUCCUUGUCUGAGAAUCUAGGCCUAUCAUUUCUACUGGUAUAAAUAGGUGCAGCUCCACUAAAGGCCUUGCCUUUAAUGUACUGGGGGGCUUUGCUGUGAAGGAUACAGAGGGUCAGGCAGUUCAGCUUUAGAUUUAAUAAACACCAUUGCUUAAAUUACUAAGAUAGACAAGCUACCUUGUUUUACAGCCAGCAUUUUCAGAACAACUUACACAAUUGUCUUGGGAAUACCUUUGGGUUAAGCAGAGCAGCAAGCCAUCAUCUGCUGUGGUCUGUGGAUCUUGUCUGUAAGUCUGAGCUGCUGGUAAUCCCUUUGGUACCAUGCUGCUGCAUGCCCAGGGCUUUGCUGGGAGCUGGAAUUAGGUGGAUGUUGUUAUUUUUAGGUGGAUGGAUGAUGUUUUGCUCCAUACCUGCCUCAGUGAAAGUUAGAGAGCUGAGUUACAGUAUCCUCACUCAUUUUCAAACAAACAGAAAAAGGUAAUGCCUCAGCUACUCCAAGUACUGCACUUUUUCUGUGUAUCUUGGGUAUUGUCAGCAUGAUUGGGUUCAGUUACAGAGUUAGGAUAUUGAGAAAAUGCUGAAUGUUAGGACUUAGCAAACACUGUUCUAGACAAUUUACUUCCAAAGGAAAAGACAACAUUUAAGAAAACACCUGCAUAAGGUUUCAGUAUUCUCUACCCAAACAGAGAAAUCCAUGUAUAAAAUUAAUCCAGAUUUCUAGAUCCAAAUUCUGUCUUAAGGCAUGAAAGGCUUUUCUUACCAAUACAAACACUAUGGGGAAAGGGGAGAGUUUUCAAAAUUUAAUUUUAAAUAGAAAGGAUAAUAAUGACAUUUUCACAUCCUUAUAAUUCUCAUACUCAAAAGUCACUUUAACAUUCAUCAGAAUAGCUUCUGAUAGGUGAAAAAAACCCACAGCAAUAAAUAUAUUUUUAAAGUAAAUAAGUCAGUGUGUACAGAAGCAAGGCCUGUUUCUUGAGAAAAAUCAUCUGACCUGCAGCACUUGGACUAAACGGUCCAGUGUUUAUAAAUGUGACUCAGCUGGAGAUGGUUUCUGAACUUCGGAAAUUCUGAAGAGAUUUUUCCUGUAUACUCUGGAAAGGCUUCAAAGUACAUCCAGCAAGCAAAUUUCAAAAAUACAAUGGCUGUACUUUAGCUGGUGUUCACCUAAAGUUUUACUGCAGUCUGAUUGAGUCUGUGGCCAAACCUGACAUGUAUGAGAUAAUUAUCAUUUGCAUACCAUCCUUUCCCAUUGAGAUCCUUGGAAAGAUUAAAAGAUUUAUUUAAAUAUUGAAA